GUGGUAAUGCCGGAUGCUCCAGUUGAUCGCAUGGUCUUCUGGGAAAGCUUUCGCGGUAUGGGAUGGGGUCGCGUCCUAUCAGCUUGACGGCGGGGUAACGGCCCACCGUGGCUUCGACGGGUAGCCGGCCUGAGAGGGCGACCGGCCACAUUGGGACUGAGAUACGGCCCAGACUCCUACGGGAGGCAGCAGUGGGGAAUAUUGCACAAUGGGCGCAAGCCUGAUGCAGCGACGCCGCGUGAGGGAUGGAGGCCUUCGGGUUGUAAACCUCUUUUAUCGGGGAGCAAGCGAGAGUGAGUUUACCCGUUGAAUAAGCACCGGCUAACUACGUGCCAGCAGCCGCGGUAAUACGUAGGGUGCAAGCGUUAUCCGGAAUUAUUGGGCGUAAAGGGCUCGUAGGCGGUUCGUCGCGUCCGGUGUGAAAGUCCAUCGCUUAACGGUGGAUCCGCGCCGGGUACGGGCGGGCUUGAGUGCGGUAGGGGAGACUGGAAUUCCCGGUGUAACGGUGGAAUGUGUAGAUAUCGGAAAAA
This 530-nucleotide ribosomal RNA is filed under the name Bifidobacterium longum subsp. suillum. RNAcentral's name for it is "bacterial SSU rRNA". It matches the Rfam family "Bacterial small subunit ribosomal RNA", at positions 160 to 705 of the family's 1533-position model. Lineage: Bacteria; Bacillati; Actinomycetota; Actinomycetes; Bifidobacteriales; Bifidobacteriaceae. The record is from RNAcentral.